UUAAAGAAUUAUAGAUUUACAUCUUUUGAACGCAAUCAACUUGCCAGAUUUAAAAAUAACCUUACUGGGAAAUCACACUUUGCAAUAAUCUGAGCACUGUGCCCAGAAAAAUACGCGUUGCGAUACAGACUAGACGUCAUGUUGGGGAGAUCUAAAAUCGAAAAUACUAUGUAAAUAAUCCAUUACCUUUGAUUCUCUUCAUCAGAUGUCACUUCCAGGUAUCACAGGUCCAUAACGAAUGUAGUUUUGUUCAAAAAAGCUCAUCAUUUAUGUCCAAAAAUCUCCGUCUCGUUAGCACAUGAUGUAAGCCAGCCGGACUUCUCGUCAUGAACGAGGGGAAAAAAUAUAUUUCCGUUCGUUCAAACAUAGCGUCGUGUAG
This 379-nucleotide long non-coding RNA is filed under the name Salmo salar (Atlantic salmon). RNAcentral describes it as "lncRNA (ENSSSAG00000084098.1)". Lineage: Eukaryota; Metazoa; Chordata; Actinopteri; Salmoniformes; Salmonidae. The record is from RNAcentral.